AUUUUCUUAGUAUAUUAGUACAUUUGCCUUCCAAGCAAGAGGUUUAAUUCAUUUAAAGAAAAUA
This 64-nucleotide transfer RNA is filed under the name Acanthochitona avicula. RNAcentral describes it as "tRNA-Gly". It matches the Rfam family "tRNA". Rfam says of the family: Transfer RNA (tRNA) molecules are approximately 80 nucleotides in length. Their secondary structure includes four short double-helical elements and three loops (D, anti-codon, and T loops). Lineage: Eukaryota; Metazoa; Mollusca; Polyplacophora; Chitonida; Acanthochitonidae. The record is from RNAcentral.